UCAGUUUGAUUAUGACAAUUUCAAAAUGAAUUGACUAUUUUAUUUUUAGAAAAUUGUAAAAUUAAACCGUACGUCUUAAAUUAAAAAGUUACAUGAAGCAACAUGCUGUCCUUCAUUUAUAGAACAAUCGGCAAUCUUCUAGGUGAAGAUAGAAAAAUAGUUGAAGAAGAUAACGAUUUUGAGUCCGGAUUUUUCUUGGACAUUGGAAUACAAUGGGUAUAUGAAUUUAGAAAAUUAUUAAUACCAGAAGAAUACAGAUUGGGUAAAAAAUGUCGAUUGAUUGCCGAGUUAUGCGACUCACACGGUACCAGAUGCAAAACGUAAUUGCUGAUUGAACUUCAUCCUUAAAUUUAUAUUUUACAUACAAUAUGUUCUUUUGCAAUAAGUGACUAUUUUCGAUUGUAUAAUUACACUUUUCUAAAAAUUUAAA
Aethina tumida (small hive beetle) is the source of this 430-nucleotide long non-coding RNA. RefSeq lists it as uncharacterized. Lineage: Eukaryota; Metazoa; Arthropoda; Insecta; Coleoptera; Nitidulidae. The transcript is spliced from 2 exons. The record is from RefSeq and is a predicted model, not a curated record.